Long non-coding RNA from Clupea harengus (Atlantic herring), 573 nucleotides. The record is from Ensembl. Lineage: Eukaryota; Metazoa; Chordata; Actinopteri; Clupeiformes; Clupeidae.
CUGGGAUGGCAGAGACGGGCGAUCUUCAGCAGCAGGUAAGAUGCUGGGGUGGCAGAGACGGGCGAUCUUCAGCAACAGGUUAGAUGCUGGAGUGGCAGAGACGGGCGAUCUUCAGCAGCAGGUAAGAUGCUGGGGUGGCAGAGACGGGUGAUCUUCAGCAGCAGGUAAGAUGCUGGGGUGGCAGAGACGGGUGAUCUUCAGCAGCAGGUUAGAUGCUGGGGUGGCAGAGACGGGCGAUCUUCAGCAGCAGGUAAGAUGCUGGGGUGGCAGAGACGGGUGAUCUUCAGCUGCAGGUAAGAUGCUGGGGUGGCAGAGACGGGUGAUCUUCAGCUGCAGGUAAGAUGCUGGGGUGGCAGAGACGGGUGAUCUUCAGCUGCAGGUAAGAUGCUGGGGUGGCAGAGACGGGCGAUCUGGCAUACGUAUAAACACAAUGAGUCAGCAGCAGGUCGAAUGCUGGGGUGGCAGAGACGGGUGAUCUGGCAUGCGUAUAAACACCAACUAGGCAAGUGCAUGAGGUGACUGGAAACAUGACAGCUGGGAUAGGGUGGGGAUGAGGGUGGAGGGUUACGGUGC